UACGUAGGGGGCAAGCGUUGUCCGGAUUUAUUGGGCGUAAAGAGCGUGUAGGCGGCUUGGUAGGUCCGCUGUGAGAACUCGAGGCUCAACCUCGAGAUGUCGGCGGAAACCACUUGGCUAGAGUCCGGAAGAGGAGAGUGGAAUUCCUGGUGUAGCGGUGAAAUGCGCAGAUAUCGGGAGGAACACCAAUUGCGAAGGCAGCUCGCUGGGACGUCACUGACGCUGAGACGCGAAAGCGUGGGGAGCAAACAGG
Molecule: ribosomal RNA, 253 nt
Filed under: uncultured bacterium
Lineage: Bacteria
Description: partial 16S ribosomal RNA
Rfam family: Bacterial small subunit ribosomal RNA
Source: RNAcentral